Molecule: non-coding RNA, 592 nt
Organism: Poecilia reticulata (guppy)
Lineage: Eukaryota; Metazoa; Chordata; Actinopteri; Cyprinodontiformes; Poeciliidae
Source: RefSeq, a predicted model, not a curated record
GGAAACCAUCCAAUAUGCAGUUCUAUAUGCCUUAUCGUCGGAGGCCAGAGGAAAUUGGAUUCAAGAUAAUGAAGGCCAUGAAAUGAGCUGACACAAGAGGAAGAAGCUGAAGAGAAUUGACAGUGCUGGCCUUCACCCAAGAGGCGAGAGGAGGAAGCAGAACACCCCUUAACUCAAGCGGUGAGCUACGGGGAGAAAUUGACGAGGUCCAGACAUGAAGGAGGCACGCCAGGAUACACACAAACCCAGUGCAAUGGCACCUAGAGGCUGUCUGCAGUCUACCACCACCCUUCUGCACACGCACACACCACACACCCACGUACACACACUUGCACACAAAGACUGUUGCAGUAAGGAACAGCAGACCACAGAGUCACCAUGAUAAUCGCAGUUGGAAUUUACGAAAUUCCAACUUUUGCUGCUUUCUUCUUUUACUUCAAACCCAAAUUCCAAUACUGAAAUGUGAAACUUAUUACAAAAAACGUAUAGAAAAUUAUUGUGAAAACAAACKAGAAUAGCAUCGACUUAAAACCAAUUUUCUCCUUUAAAGUCUAGAUGUUUUAAGCUAUUAAAAAUACGUCUUAGACCAUGU